Molecule: ribosomal RNA, 408 nt
Filed under: uncultured bacterium
Lineage: Bacteria
Description: partial 16S ribosomal RNA
Rfam family: Bacterial small subunit ribosomal RNA
Source: RNAcentral
AGUGAACGCUGGCGGCGUGCCUAAUACAUGCAAGUCGAACGGAGUGGCGUACGGGUGAGUAAUAUAUAGCUAAUCUGCUCCUUGCUGGAGGACAACAGUUAGAAAUGACUGCUAAUACUCCAUAGCAAGGGAUGAGACUAUAUCGUAUCAGCUAGUCGGUGGGGUAACGGCCUACCGAGGCUAUGACGCGUAACUGGUUUGCGAUGAUGAUCAGUCACAUUGGAACUGCGACCCAGUCCAGACUCCUACUAGAGGCAGCGGUAGGGAAUAUUUCGCAAUGGGGGAGACCCUGACGCAGCAACGCCGCGUGGAGGAUGUCACUUUUCGGAGCGUAAACUCCUUUUGUUAGGGAAGCGUUACCUAACGAAUAAGCACCGGCUAACUCCGUGCCAGCAGCCGCGGUAAUUC